Molecule: non-coding RNA, 31 nt
Filed under: Mus musculus (house mouse)
Lineage: Eukaryota; Metazoa; Chordata; Mammalia; Rodentia; Muridae
Source: RNAcentral
UGACUCAAGGAAAAGUCUUAAACUGAUUAGU